Molecule: ribosomal RNA, 500 nt
Filed under: uncultured bacterium
Lineage: Bacteria
Description: partial 16S ribosomal RNA
Rfam family: Bacterial small subunit ribosomal RNA
Source: RNAcentral
AUUGAACGCUGGCGGCAUGCCUUACACAUGCAAGUCGAACGGCAGCACGGGAGCAAUCCUGGUGGCGAGUGGCGAACGGGUGAGUAAUAUAUCAGAACGUGCCCAGUCGUGGGGGAUAACGCAGCGAAAGCUGUGCUAAUACCGCAUACGAUCUAAGGAUGAAAGCGGGGGAUCGCAAGACCUCGCGCGAUUGGAGCGGCCGAUAUCAGAUUAGCUAGUUGGUGGGGUAAAGGCCCACCAAGGCGACGUUCUGUAGCUGGUCUGAGAGGACGACCAGCCACACGGGAACUGAGACACGGUCCAGACGCCUACGGGAGGCAGCAGUGGGGAAUUUUGGACAAUGGGCGCAAGCCUGAUCCAGCAAUGCCGCGUGCAGGAUGAAGGCCUUCGGGUUGUAAACUGCUUUUGUACGGAACGAAACGGCCCUUUCUAAUACAGGGGGCUAAUGACGGUACCGUAAGAAUAAGCACCGGCUAACUACGUGCCAGCCGCCGCCGUAA